This 464-nucleotide ribosomal RNA is filed under the name uncultured bacterium. RNAcentral's name for it is "partial 16S ribosomal RNA". It matches the Rfam family "Bacterial small subunit ribosomal RNA", at positions 28 to 507 of the family's 1533-position model. The record is from RNAcentral.
GACGAACGCUGGCGGCGUGCUUAACACAUGCCAGUCGAACGGUAAGGUCCCAGCUUGCUGGGGUACACGAGUGGCGAACGGGUGAGUAACACGUGGGUGACCUGCCCCGCACUUCGGGAUAAGCCUGGGAAACUGGGUCUAAUACCGGAUAGGACCGCACCGUGAGGGUGUGGUGGAAAGUUUUUCGGUGUGGGAUGGGCCCGCGGCCUAUCAGCUUGUUGGUGGGGUAAUGGCCUACCAAGGCGGCGACGGGUAGCCGGCCUGAGAGGGUGGACGGCCACAUUGGGACUGAGACACGGCCCAGACUCCUACGGGAGGCAGCAGUGGGGAAUAUUGCACAAUGGGCGGAAGCCUGAUGCAGCGACGCCGCGUGGGGGAUGACGGCCUUCGGGUUGUAAACUCCUUUCACCAUCGACGAAGGUUUUCUGACGGUAGAUGGAGAAGAAGCACCGGCUAACUACGUG